RNAcentral lists this long non-coding RNA (1137 nucleotides) under Astyanax mexicanus (Mexican tetra). Its description in RNAcentral is "lncRNA (ENSAMXG00005022242.1)". Lineage: Eukaryota; Metazoa; Chordata; Actinopteri; Characiformes; Acestrorhamphidae. The record is from RNAcentral.
UAUUGUAUAUUACACUCAGUUACUUAUAGGAUGUCACAGUGAAUAAAAGAAGAGGAUACAUUUUUGUUUGAACAACAGUGUUUUAAACACAAAUCAAGAAUAUCAGGGUCAUGAGAAGUUUAAUUGAACUUGUAUUUACUUUCCACAGAAGUUGAGCUGGCAAAUUAGCUAGUUAGCUAGCUGUUAAGAUAAGUAAACAAAGCUGUAAUUCUUAAAAUAUAUAUAUAUAUAUAUAAACUAAUAAACAUUUUAUUUUAAAGUCAAACUAGCGCUAGUAAACACAGUCCGACAGUGCUACACUUAGGAACUCUAAGUAUUUCGGAAAACUAGGGCGAUAUCAGCGGAUUGUCCCAUGUAGCUUGUAGCGGCUAAUGCUAAUACUGCUCCAGCUGUGCUAGCCAGGGUUAGCAACAGGAUACAAGGCAAUAAUACUCACCUCUGAAUGGCGAAAGAGCUACCGCUUAGUGCAGUUAGCAGCUAAUGCUAAUACUGCUCCAGCAGUGCUAGUCGGGGUUAGCAGCAGGCUACAGGCCGAUAAUACUCACCUCUAAACGGCAAAAGAGCUAGCGCUAACUGAGCUAACUGCUCCAGUCUUAGUGCUGUAGAAAAACUUGACUGAAAAUCCUUUAUAACACCGCUCAAGAAAAUACUGAAAUUGUUCCGUUUUACACUAUCUAACCUAGCUAGAUAGCUAUGCUGUAUAAAUAACUUAAGAUUGGUACAUAAUGCUCUUGCUGGAUUCCAAAUUGUCCUAUGCUGGGUCUGUUGUUGAUGGCUUAUUUUAACACAUUCAACCAAACGCCCAUAUGUCUGCCCUUACACACCCAGUGCUCCACUUUAGAUUAUCUUUAAAGCAAAAAUCUUCUCUAACAGACUCACAGCACCUGACCUGUCCACUUCACAAGAGCCAGUUACCCUCCACAGAGCAAGCAGAGCAGAUGUAUGGAGGUUUGGGUAGAUGUGUUAAAUUUAGCUCCUUUAACCACAGACGCAGCUCCUCUUCUCUGAAAAGCAGUGGAUAUAAAUUCUGGCAGAUGCUGCGAAGAGUACAAACAUGUCAGAGGAAGCAAGAAGAGAAGAGAAGAGAAGAGAAGAGAAGCGAGAGUAACCAAGCUAGAGACCGCACGAGAAUUAAAA